This 504-nucleotide ribosomal RNA is filed under the name uncultured bacterium. RNAcentral describes it as "partial 16S ribosomal RNA". It matches the Rfam family "Bacterial small subunit ribosomal RNA", at positions 30 to 523 of the family's 1533-position model. The record is from RNAcentral.
AUUGAACGCUGGCGGCAGGCCUAACACAUGCAAGUCGAACGGUAGCACAGAGAGCUUGCUCUUGGGUGACGAGUGGCGGACGGGUGAGUAAUGUCUGGGAAACUGCCCGAUGGAGGGGGAUAACUACUGGAAACGGUAGCUAAUACCGCAUAACGUCGCAAGACCAAAGUGGGGGACCUUCGGGCCUCACACCAUCGGAUGUGCCCAGAUGGGAUUAGCUAGUAGGUGGGGUAAUGGCUCACCUAGGCGACGAUCCCUAGCUGGUCUGAGAGGAUGACCAGCCACACUGGAACUGAGACACGGUCCAGACUCCUACGGGAGGCAGCAGUGGGGAAUAUUGCACAAUGGGCGCAAGCCUGAUGCAGCCAUGCCGCGUGUAUGAAGAAGGCCUUCGGGUUGUAAAGUACUUUCAGCGAGGAGGAAGGCGGUGAGGUUAAUAACCUCAUCGAUUGACGUUACUCGCAGAAGAAGCACCGGCUAACUCCGUGCCAGCCGCCGCCGUAA